Molecule: ribosomal RNA, 1370 nt
Filed under: Salmonella enterica subsp. enterica serovar Schwarzengrund
Lineage: Bacteria; Pseudomonadati; Pseudomonadota; Gammaproteobacteria; Enterobacterales; Enterobacteriaceae
Description: bacterial SSU rRNA
Rfam family: Bacterial small subunit ribosomal RNA
Source: RNAcentral
GUCGCAAGACCAAAGAGGGGGACCUUCGGGCCUCUUGCCAUCAGAUGUGCCCAGAUGGGAUUAGCUUGUUGGUGAGGUAACGGCUCACCAAGGCGACGAUCCCUAGCUGGUCUGAGAGGAUGACCAGCCACACUGGAACUGAGACACGGUCCAGACUCCUACGGGAGGCAGCAGUGGGGAAUAUUGCACAAUGGGCGCAAGCCUGAUGCAGCCAUGCCGCGUGUAUGAAGAAGGCCUUCGGGUUGUAAAGUACUUUCAGCGGGGAGGAAGGUGUUGUGGUUAAUAACCGCAGCAAUUGACGUUACCCGCAGAAGAAGCACCGGCUAACUCCGUGCCAGCAGCCGCGGUAAUACGGAGGGUGCAAGCGUUAAUCGGAAUUACUGGGCGUAAAGCGCACGCAGGCGGUCUGUCAAGUCGGAUGUGAAAUCCCCGGGCUCAACCUGGGAACUGCAUUCGAAACUGGCAGGCUUGAGUCUUGUAGAGGGGGGUAGAAUUCCAGGUGUAGCGGUGAAAUGCGUAGAGAUCUGGAGGAAUACCGGUGGCGAAGGCGGCCCCCUGGACAAAGACUGACGCUCAGGUGCGAAAGCGUGGGGAGCAAACAGGAUUAGAUACCCUGGUAGUCCACGCCGUAAACGAUGUCUACUUGGAGGUUGUGCCCUUGAGGCGUGGCUUCCGGAGCUAACGCGUUAAGUAGACCGCCUGGGGAGUACGGCCGCAAGGUUAAAACUCAAAUGAAUUGACGGGGGCCCGCACAAGCGGUGGAGCAUGUGGUUUAAUUCGAUGCAACGCGAAGAACCUUACCUGGUCUUGACAUCCACGGAAGUUUUCAGAGAUGGAUUGUGCCUUCGGGAACCGUGAGACAGGUGCUGCAUGGCUGUCGUCAGCUCGUGUUGUGAAAUGUUGGGUUAAGUCCCGCAACGAGCGCAACCCUUAUCCUUUGUUGCCAGCGGUCCGGCCGGGAACUCAAAGGAGACUGCCAGUGAUAAACUGGAGGAAGGUGGGGAUGACGUCAAGUCAUCAUGGCCCUUACGACCAGGGCUACACACGUGCUACAAUGGCGCAUACAAAGAGAAGCGACCUCGCGAGAGCAAGCGGACCUCAUAAAGUGCGUCGUAGUCCGGAUUGGAGUCUGCAACUCGACUCCAUGAAGUCGGAAUCGCUAGUAAUCGUGGAUCAGAAUGCCACGGUGAAUACGUUCCCGGGCCUUGUACACACCGCCCGUCACACCAUGGGAGUGGGUUGCAAAAGAAGUAGGUAGCUUAACCUUCGGGAGGGCGCUUACCACUUUGUGAUUCAUGACUGGGGUGAAGUCGUAACAAGGUAACCGUAGGGGAACCUGCGGUUGGAUCACCUCCUUACCUUAAAGAAGC